AGGACGAACGCUGGCGGCGUGCUUAACACAUGCAAGUCGAGGGAGGCCGACCCUUCGGGGUCGAGUCGACCGGCGGACGGGUGAGUAACACGUGACCAACUUACCUUCGGGAGGGGGACAACCUGGGGAAACCCGGGCUAAUACCGCAUAAAGUGCCUUGGCCGCAUGACCGGGGCAUGAAAGGGGGCCUCUACUUGUAAGCUCCCGCCUGAAGAGGGGGUCGCGGCGUAUCAGCUAGUUGGUAGGGUAACGGCCUACCAAGGCGACGACGCGUAGCGGGUCUGAGAGGACGACCCGCCACAUUGGGACUGAGAUACGGCCCAGACUCCUACGGGAGGCAGCAGUGGGGAAUAUUGCGCAAUGGCCGAAAGGCUGACGCAGCGACGCCGUGUGUGGGAGGAAGCUCUUCGGGGUGUAAACCACUGUCGAGGGGGGAAGAAACGUCGGUCGGGCAAACGAACCCGGUCGAUUGACGGUACCUACCGAAAGGAAGCGCCGGACUAACUCCGCACCCAGCAGCCGC
Molecule: ribosomal RNA, 523 nt
Filed under: uncultured soil bacterium
Lineage: Bacteria
Description: bacterial SSU rRNA
Rfam family: Bacterial small subunit ribosomal RNA
Source: RNAcentral